RNAcentral lists this long non-coding RNA (219 nucleotides) under Nicotiana benthamiana. Its description in RNAcentral is "long non-coding RNA (NBEN_LNC038254)". The record is from RNAcentral. Lineage: Eukaryota; Viridiplantae; Streptophyta; Magnoliopsida; Solanales; Solanaceae.
CUUUUUCCAAUUUCUCAACUAUAAAUACCCCCCUCAUUCUUUCAUUUUUAUUCACCAAUUCAUUAAUAUCUCUCAAUCUUUCUACUACAAUUGCUUAAUUUAUUGUUGAAAAUUUAUGAAAAAUUGUGAAGUUGUUGAAUUGAAGUUUUCAAGUGUUCAACGAUUUUCAAUUUUCAAGAAGUUGUUCGGCAAUCCGGUAAACUCGUUUCAACUCAUACG